This 253-nucleotide ribosomal RNA is filed under the name uncultured bacterium. Its description in RNAcentral is "partial 16S ribosomal RNA". It matches the Rfam family "Bacterial small subunit ribosomal RNA", at positions 524 to 776 of the family's 1533-position model. The record is from RNAcentral.
UACGAGGGGUGCAAGCGUUGCUCGGAAUUAUUGGGCGUAAAGGGCAGGUAGGUGGUCUCAUUUGUCUGAUGUGAAAUCCUUGGGCUUAACCUAAGAAGUGCGUCAGAAACGGUGAGACUUGAGUGCUGGAGAGGUGAGUGGAAUUCCCGGUGUAGCGGUGAAAUGCGUAGAGAUCGGGAGGAACACCAGAGGCGAAGGCGGCUCACUGGACAGUGACUGACACUCAACUGCGAAAGCGUGGGGAGCAAACAGG